AAAAACAUGGCUCCUUGUUUAUAGUAUAUAAGGAGUCGGACCUGCCCAGUGAAAUUUUUUAACGGCCGCGGUACUCUGACCGUGCAAAGGUAGCAUAAUCAUUUGCCUUAUAAUUGAAGGCUAGUAUGAAUGGUUUGACAAGAAUGUAGCUGUCUCUUUAUAAUUAAACAGAAUUUUAUUUAUAGGUGAAGAAGCCUAUAUCAAAUUAAAAGACAAGAAGACCCUAUCGAGCUUAAAAUAAAUUAGUAGACUAAGUAAUUAAUGAUAUCAGAAAAUUAACUAUUAGAAAUUUUAGUUGGGGCGACUGGGGAACAAAAAAAGCUUCCUUUAAAAAAUGAAAAACUAAACAAGUAUUGAUCCAAAACAUUUUGAUUAAAGAAAUUAGUUACCGUAGGGAUAACAGCAUUAUCUUUUUUAAGAGCUCUUAUCGAAAAAAAGGUUUGUGACCUCGAUGUUGGACCAGAAUAUCCUAAAGAUGCAACAGUCUUUAAGGGUUGGUUUGUUCGACCAUUAAAAUUCUACGUGAUCUGAGUUC
This 535-nucleotide ribosomal RNA is filed under the name Buccinum tsubai. Its description in RNAcentral is "partial 16S rRNA". It matches the Rfam family "Bacterial large subunit ribosomal RNA", at positions 1809 to 2612 of the family's 2925-position model. Lineage: Eukaryota; Metazoa; Mollusca; Gastropoda; Neogastropoda; Buccinidae. The record is from RNAcentral.